This 503-nucleotide ribosomal RNA is filed under the name uncultured bacterium. RNAcentral's name for it is "partial 16S ribosomal RNA". It matches the Rfam family "Bacterial small subunit ribosomal RNA", at positions 30 to 523 of the family's 1533-position model. The record is from RNAcentral.
AUUGAACGCUGGCGGCAGGCUUAACACAUGCAAGUCGAGCGGGGUGAUGGUGCUUGCACUAUCACUUAGCGGCGGACGGGUGAGUAAUGCUUAGGAAUCUGCCUAUUAGUGGGGGACAACAUCUCGAAAGGGAUGCUAAUACCGCAUACGUCCUACGGGAGAAAGCAGGGGAUCACUUGUGACCUUGCGCUAAUAGAUGAGCCUAAGUCGGAUUAGCUAGUUGGUGGGGUAAAGGCCUACCAAGGCGACGAUCUGUAGCGGGUCUGAGAGGAUGAUCCGCCACACUGGGACUGAGACACGGCCCAGACUCCUACGGGAGGCAGCAGUGGGGAAUAUUGGACAAUGGGGGGAACCCUGAUCCAGCCAUGCCGCGUGUGUGAAGAAGGCCUUAUGGUUGUAAAGCACUUUAAGCGAGGAGGAGGCUCUUUUGGUUAAUGCCCAAGAUGUGUGGACGUUACUCGCAGAAUAAGCACCGGCUAACUCUGUGCCAGCAGCCGCGGUAA